GAUGAACGCUGGCGGCGUGCCUAAUACAUGCAAGUCGAGCGAACGGACGAGGAGCUUUCUUCUCUGAUGUUAGCGGCGGACGGGUGAGUAACACGUGGAUAACCUACCUAUAAGACUGGGAUAACUUCGGGAAACCGGAGCUAAUACCGGAUGAUAUUUUGAACCGCAUGGUUCAAAAGUGAAAGACGGUCUUGCUGUCACUUAUAGAUGGAUCCGCGCCGCAUUAGCUAGUUGGUAAGGUAACGGCUUACCAAGGCAACGAUGCAUAGCCGACCUGAGAGGGUGAUCGGCCACACUGGAACUGAGACACGGUCCAGACUCCUACGGGAGGCAGCAGUAGGGAAUCUUCCGCAAUGGGCGAAAGCCUGACGGAGCAACGCCGCGUGAGUGAUGAAGGUCUUCGGAUCGUAAAACGCUGUUAGUAGGGAAGAACAAAUGUGUAAGUAACUGUGCACAUCUUGACGGUACCUAAUCAGAAAGCCACGGCUAACUACGUG
This 497-nucleotide ribosomal RNA is filed under the name uncultured bacterium. Its description in RNAcentral is "partial 16S ribosomal RNA". It matches the Rfam family "Bacterial small subunit ribosomal RNA", at positions 28 to 507 of the family's 1533-position model. The record is from RNAcentral.